This is a long non-coding RNA of Dreissena polymorpha, 700 nucleotides long. RefSeq lists it as uncharacterized. NCBI's taxonomy places the organism in Eukaryota, Metazoa, Mollusca, Bivalvia, Myida, Dreissenidae. The record is from RefSeq and is a predicted model, not a curated record. The transcript is spliced from 4 exons.
CUUGUUAUAUUUGCCAGUUGGUGCGAAACUGGUUUGUUUGGAAAAAAUGGCUGCCGCCAUGAUGGUGCCUUUUUCACAUCUUCUGCAAGUUUAUGUGACGACCUGUUAAAAGUUUAACAUUGACACGCGGUGGACUUCAAUAUGUAUGAUCUACUUAUGCUUCCACAAUGUAAAGGCAACAAUCACUGGGUUUUGCUGGUUGCAAGUGUUAUGUCCAGGACUGUAACCAUUUACGACUCGUUGAGUGGUAACAACAAGGCCUUGUUCGAUUUGUUUCGCCAGUUCAUGUGUCAACGAGCGCAAGUUGUGAAAGAUGGCUUGGAAAAAUUCAGUUCAGAGUUCAAAGCGCCACCUUGCAACAAACAGCGCCAUGGAAACAGCUGUGGAGUGUUUGCAUUGAUGACUGCCAAAUGUUUGGUCAUGAAAAAGCAUCCCACAAUGUUGUGACAGGCCCAUGAUUCAGUUUAUCGAGACUAGUCGUGAGACGCAGACUUCUGAUUCAUGGAGUGCGACAAACAUGUCUGUGCGACUCGAUCACACCACUGUAAAGCCCGGCACGGCAUUAAAAUGGAUAUUAUCAAUAUGUGUUGUUGCUCGAAAAUAUGUUUUUGUAGCAGGUAGUGCUUUGGGCUCGAUUAAUCUGAGAACUCAACAAAAUAUUAAUAAAAUCCUUCAGUGCCUUUUAGUUCUGAAAACAGAA